AGUCGAACGGAAGUCGUUACGAAAUGGAAUGAAGAUUUAUCUGAUUGAAGUUUUGUAACAAUGGCUUUAGUGGCGGACUGGUGAGUAACACGUAAGCAAUCUACCUAUUAGAGGGGAAUAACAAUGAGAAAUCAUUGCUAAUACCGCAUAAGCUUGUAGUACCGCAUGGUACAGCAAGAAAAGGAGCAAUCCGCUAAUAGAUGAGCUUGCGGCUGAUUAGCUAGUUGGUGUGGUAACGGCAUACCAAGGCAACGAUCAGUAGCCGGGCUGAGAGGCUCUUCGGCCACAUUGGGACUGAGAUACGGCCCAGACUCCUACGGGAGGCAGCAGUCGGGAAUUUUGCGCAAUGGAGGAAACUCUGACGCAGUGACGCCGCGUAUAGGAAGAAGGUUUUCGGAUUGUAAACUAUUUUAGUCAGGGAAGAAAAAUGACAGUACCUGAAGAAUAAGCUCCGGCUAACUACGUGCCAGCAGCCGCGGUAAUACGUAGGGAGCAAGCGUUAUCCGGAUUUAUUGGGUGUAAAGGGUGCGUAGACGGGAAGACAAGUUGGUUGUGAAAGCCCUCGGCUCAGCUGAGGAACUGCAACCAAAACUAUCAUUCUUGAGUGCGGGAGAGGAAAGUGGAAUUCCUAGUGUAGCGGUGAAAUGCGUAGAUAUUAGGAGGAACACCAGUGGCGAAGGCGACUUUCUGGACCGUAACUGACGUUGAGGCACGAAAGUGUG
Molecule: ribosomal RNA, 722 nt
Filed under: uncultured bacterium
Lineage: Bacteria
Description: bacterial SSU rRNA
Rfam family: Bacterial small subunit ribosomal RNA
Source: RNAcentral